ACCCGCUGAACUUAAGCAUAUCAAUAAGCGGAGGAAAAGAAACCAACAGGGAUUGCCCUAGUAACGGCGAGUGAAGCGGCAACAGCUCAAAUUUGAAAUCUGGCCCUCGGGUCCGAGUUGUAAUUUGUAGAGGAUGCUUUUGGUGAAGUGCCUUCCGAGUUCCUUGGAACAGGACGCCUUAGAGGGUGAGAGCCCCGUACGGUUGGACACUAAGCCUCUGUAAAGCUCCUUCGACGAGUCGAGUAGUUUGGGAAUGCUGCUCUAAAUGGGAGGUAAAUUUCUUCUAAAGCUAAAUACCGGCCAGAGACCGAUAGCGCACAAGUAGAGUGAUCGAAAGAUGAAAAGUACUUUGAAAAGAGGGUUAAAUAGCACGUGAAAUUGUUGAAAGGGAAGCGUUUAUGACCAGACCUUUGUCUAGCGGAUCAUCCGGUGUUCUUCACCGGUGCACUUCGCUAGGCUUAGGCCAGCAUCGAUUUCUGUAGGGGGAUAAAGACCAUGGGAACGUAGCUCUCUCCGGGGAGUGUUAUAGCCCUAGGUGUAAUACCUUUACGGGGAUCGAGGUUCGCGCUUCUGCAGAUGCGCAUGCUGGCGUAAUGGUCAUCAACGACCCGUCUUGAAACACGGACC
RNAcentral lists this ribosomal RNA (627 nucleotides) under Trichromostroma enteroxanthum. Its description in RNAcentral is "eukaryotic LSU rRNA". It matches the Rfam family "Eukaryotic large subunit ribosomal RNA", at positions 23 to 667 of the family's 3401-position model. Lineage: Eukaryota; Fungi; Ascomycota; Sordariomycetes; Xylariales; Diatrypaceae. The record is from RNAcentral.